AGUGAACGCUGGCGGCAGGCCUAACACAUGCAAGUCGAGCGGCAGCGGGUUCCCGCGAGGGGAUGCCGGCGAGCGGCGGACGGGUGAGGAACACAUCGGAAUCUGCCUGGUUGUGGGGGAUAACGUAGGGAAACUUACGCUAAUACCGCAUGCGACCCUGAGUCGACGGACGUGGGGGUGAAAGUGAGGGACCUUCGGGCCGUCACGCGACCAGAUGAGCCGAUGUCGGAUUAGCUAGUUGGCGGGGUAACGGCCCGCCAAGGCGACGAUCCGUAGCUGGUCUGAGAGGAUGAUCAGCCACACUGGGACUGAGACACGGCCCAGACUCCUACGGAGGCAGCAGUGGGGAAUCUUGGACAAUGGGCGCAAGCCUGAUCCAGCCAUGCCGCGU
Molecule: ribosomal RNA, 391 nt
Filed under: uncultured bacterium
Lineage: Bacteria
Description: bacterial SSU rRNA
Rfam family: Bacterial small subunit ribosomal RNA
Source: RNAcentral